Molecule: ribosomal RNA, 358 nt
Filed under: uncultured Lactobacillus sp.
Lineage: Bacteria; Bacillati; Bacillota; Bacilli; Lactobacillales; Lactobacillaceae
Description: bacterial SSU rRNA
Rfam family: Bacterial small subunit ribosomal RNA
Source: RNAcentral
GAAUUUAAAAGGACGGCGUAAAGCUGUCGCUAAAAGGAUGAACCUGCGAUGCAUUAGCUAGUUGGUAAGGUAACAGGCUUACCAAGGCGAUGAUGCAUAGCCCGAGUUGAGAGACUGAUCGGGCCACAUUGGGACUGAGACACGGGCCCAAACUCCUACGGGAGGCAGCAGUAGGGGGAAUCUUCCACAAUGGACGAAAGUCUGAUGGAGCAAACGCCGCGUGAGUGAAGAAGGUUUUCGGAUCGUAAAAAGCUCUGUUGUUGGUGAAGAAGGAUAGAGGUAGUAACUGGCCCUUUAUUUGACGGUAAUCAACCCAGAAAGUCACGGGCUAACUACGUGCCCAGCAGCCGCGGUAAAU